Trachymyrmex septentrionalis is the source of this 3003-nucleotide RNA transcript. It is a transcript of the gene named myb protein, with no coding region annotated. NCBI's taxonomy places the organism in Eukaryota, Metazoa, Arthropoda, Insecta, Hymenoptera, Formicidae. The transcript has 11 exons. The record is from RefSeq and is a predicted model, not a curated record.
GCGCGUUGGUACCCUUCGCACGCGGCGGAGCAUCCUACUUCCGGUUUAUCCCAAGUGUUAACAUCGCGUCGUAUUCUCCCUUGCGAUCUCGCGAAUCGACGGAUAUUCUAUUUGGAAAAAUACAGAGUCGAAAAGGUAGAGAAGGGAGAAAGGUGGAGAAAAGGGAUGCACGUGGUGUUCUGAUGCUUUUAGGGGUUAGUUUUUCGCGAGGGGCCGAGGGAAAGCGCAUAAACAUGACUGCAUGAGACCAGUCUUCGAUAGAGUAAAAAUCUCCGGAGACGGGAGACGCGCAGAGAGACGCAAUGGAUUACGGUGUUACCGCGUGCAGGCGGUAGUGCUCGUAAGCCGGGGGGUGCUCGAAGCAUCUACGCGGGAGAGAAGAUUCUAUUUAUCGCCGAUCCCGCGCUUUCUCCUUCGGCUCUCCCCCGUCCGUCGACCCCCGUCUCGUCCGCCAUCCGUGAGAAUCGUGCGUCGCUUAUGAUGGAUAUAUUUUCGAAUGGAUUGCUCGCGCCGAAUGGAUUGUCGAUCAACAACGUGGAGAUAGCCUCCUAUCACUCGUCCUUUUGCUCGCCACCGAUCACAGAAGCGUCUCGAUCUGGUUACGAUUCUAGCAGCGGUGGAGAGUCCGACAACGAGUACAGUACAGUUAGCCAAGGCGGUCAAGUACAAAGUCAGGCGCAAAAUCAACUUCCCAGCGUCACAAAUUACGGGCAGGGAAAGCACAUAAAUAAAGGACGAUGGACCAAAGACGAAGACGCUUUAUUGAAACAACUAGUAAGCAACGCGGAACAACAGGGCACUGGUUUGCGAUGGGACAUUAUAGCCGGCCAGUUUCCAGAUAGGAGUGAUGUACAAUGUCAACAGAGAUGGGCGAAGGUCGUGAACCCGGAACUGGUGAAGGGUCCAUGGACGAAGGAGGAAGAUGAAAAAGUAGUAGAACUUGUACGGAAGUAUGGUCCGAAAAAGUGGACGGUGAUAGCGCGACAUCUUAAAGGUCGGAUUGGCAAACAAUGCCGGGAACGAUGGCACAAUCACUUGAAUCCGGAGAUAAAGAAAACUGCAUGGACGGAGGCUGAAGACAAAAUAAUCGUUGAUGCUCAUCGUAGAGUCGGCAAUCAAUGGGCAAAAAUCGCUAAGCUGUUACCGGGUAGGACUGACAAUGCGAUUAAAAAUCAUUGGAAUAGUACGAUGAGAAGGAAAUAUGAAGGUGAAGAAGGAAGAAUUGCGACCAAAGGUAUUGUUUACGAUGGCAGAGGCAAGAGAAAAAAUGCACAGGGUGCUACUAUUGUAAAGGAUACGCUUCUUCUGGAAGAUGAUCAGAAUCGUAUGAAAACUGUCUCGGCUAGUAGUUCAACAGUAACAGCGGGUAACUCCUCGCAGAAUCUCGACCUCGAGCAUCUGAGUUGGAUCAAAAAUUGGGAACAGCAUGCUACGGCGGGAUAUCAGAAUGCUCUGGAAUUAAACAGGCAUACACACGGCAAUGAAAAGUGCUCGUCUCCAUUGAAGAGAGGAUCUUCACGAGCGAAAGCCGAGACAGUUUCGUCAUUAUCUAAAUAUUUCAAUUUGCAACAAAUACAAAACGAAACAUCUGGUUCGAAGAGCUCGGAGAUAAAACUGAUGCCGAUGCCCGACUUGGAGGAUAUACCCGAGCAGCAUGUGGACAAGAAGAGUACCCCUCCGCCUAUAUUACGUAGACGUAGAAACGCGCACAGUUCGCUGCAGAGGAUAGACGUCUCCGACAGCGGGAAUCAGUCGAAUUACAUCGUAACGAGCCAACAGGUGCAAACAGGGAACAUCACCCCUUCGACUCCCAUAAAACAACUUCCAUUCAGUCCUUCGCAAUUCCUGAACAGUCUGAGUCCGUCGGAAACGUGGCCGCGCGCAAGUACGCCCAAAGGAAGCAGUCCUGGCCCGCUCACGACUCCGCAGCCUACUGGUUUCCGAAGAAGUCAAAACGACGGUAAUACACCAAGAACACCAACCCCAUUUAAAAACGCUUUAGCUGAGCUCGAGCGACGAACCGGAGCGGUACAGUUGCCCGCGACUCCUAGUCGUCUAGAUGCAUUGACCGAGAUAAUAAAGCAAGAGACCGAGAACGAAGCUGGAACGAGUACGAUUCAAGACCAAGACUCGGGCUACAGUAGUAUGAUACGAAGGCGCGGUAAAGAAAACAGUGCACCUGGAGGAAAACGCGCGAGAAAGGCUCUUUCUCAGGCUUGGGCAUCUCAGGACAACUCCGAAAUUAGUUUCCUUGUGGAAACACCAAGUAAAAGUUUGGAAGCUUCUACAUUGUUCUCACCUGCAUCUAUGGCACUAGAAGAUAGCUUUUUGACGGCAGGAACCAGUCCUACAAAGACUCCUCACGACUUUACGUCCGUACAACAACGGAAGCCGAAUGCCAAGAGAGCAAUCACGUUUGAUGCAUUCGACAGCCCUUAUUGUAUCUUCAGUCCUCUGCCUUCCAGGCCGGUAAAACGCACCAAGGCACAAUUGGAAGCACAAUGGGUAACGGUGGCGUGUGGUCGUACCCGGGACCAGCUUGACAUGACUCGCGCCGCUCGACGCUUUCUAAACAAUCAUGGGUAUCUGCCGUUGCGCCCACGUUCUUUGAAUUUCUGAAGAAGAAAAAAAAAGGAAAAGGAAUGUGAAAAGCGGAAUACCGGCGCUCGAUCGCACUUUGUGGUACAAAAGAAGAAUUGUCAUUAAACUAGUCGUAGAUGAAGAUGUAAGGUCAUUCCGUUUCAGGAAUGCACGAUCACUAUCGGUUAUUUCACGCGCUAUGAAUUCGAGAGGUAAAUUAAGCGACGAAUUCGAUCGGUUGACCUCGAUGUGCGUGAAUUAACUCUACACUGCGCUGGGUAACAAAGAGGAUACUUUGAAGAAAACAUAGUGGAAAUAAAUAUCACUCUUUCAGGGAGGUUCUGGAUGGUGACUGAAUCAGGUGUGGAUCUAAUGGAAAUGGAUACUUACCUCUAUCUCUCGAACAUCCUUUUUUUUUCUUUU